RNAcentral lists this transfer RNA (68 nucleotides) under Semnoderes armiger. RNAcentral describes it as "tRNA-Tyr". Lineage: Eukaryota; Metazoa; Kinorhyncha; Cyclorhagida; Kentrorhagata; Semnoderidae. The record is from RNAcentral.
AAAAAGAAAAAAAAUUAAAUUGUAAUUUUAAAUAGGAAGAAAUUUAAGGAGUUCCUCUUCUCUUUUUA